GUGCUCACUUUGGCAGCACAUACACUAAAAUUGGAACGAUACAGAGAUUAGCAUGGCCCCUGUGCAAGCAUGACACACAAAUGCAUGAAGCACUCCAUAUGCUU
Molecule: small nuclear RNA, 104 nt
Organism: Cercocebus atys (sooty mangabey)
Lineage: Eukaryota; Metazoa; Chordata; Mammalia; Primates; Cercopithecidae
Source: Ensembl